AAGAAGAACGCGGCGUUGCCCGUGUAUUCCGGGUAGAUGUCGAUUUCGCCUGUCGUCAGCGCCCGGCGGACGAUCGGCGUCGCGCCGAGCCCGAUCUUGUCGACGACGGCGAUUCCGUGGGCCUUGAGCACCUGCGAGAUCACGUUGCCGAGCAGGUUGCCUUCGGUAUCGAUCUUCGACGCGACGGUGACCGCGCCGGCGGCGCGCGCGCCGGGCGCGGCCGCGCAGAGGGAAACGGCGAGCGCGGCGGCGGCCGCGCGCAGGGUACGGCUGAAACGGGGAACUUUCAUCGGGGCUGAUGCUCCUGUCGGACAGCGGAUGAACGGAUGCGAGAGGCGCCCGCGCGCACCGGCGGCGCGACGCGGCCGGGCGUGAAGCGGGGCCGCGCGCAGGCGACAGGGGUUCAAGGUACUUGAGCGGGCGCGCUUUGGCAAACAAGGGCGCAUUCACGCUCGGGCGGAAAAUCGCGGGCCGAUCGCCGGGCAAUCGCCGGGCAAUCGCCGGGCAAUCGUUUGGGACUGCGCAAUUGCGUCAUGCGGCGAUACAAUGCGACGGACGGCGCCGCGCAUGGAACGGAUAUUGCGCUGCACCGUCGCUCGCCGUCUCGAGUCGUUUUUGAGCCGCUUUCCGCCGAUUGCCGUCUACGUCAAGGAGCGUCCAUCGUGAGCAGCGAUCCCCACACGGCGCCUCAGUCCGCGCCGCAGAACAUCUACGACGACGCAUCGUUCUUCGAAGGCUAUCGCACGCUUCGGCAAGGCGACACCGGCCUGAACGGCGCGCUCGAAUCUCCCGCGAUGAAGCGUCUGCUGCCGAACCUGGCGGGCCUGCACGUGCUCGACCUCGGCUGCGGCUUCGGCGAUUUCGCCCGCUACGCGCGCGCGCACGGCGCGGCGUCGGUGACGGCCGUCGACGUGUCGUCGCGGAUGCUCGAGGAGGCGCGCGCGCGCACCGACGACGGCGCCGUCACCUAUCUGCAGCGGUCGAUCGAGACCUAUCACGCGGCGACGCGCGCGUUCGAUCUCGUCGUGUCGUCGCUCACGCUGCAUUACGUCGAGGACUACGCAGGCGUCGUCGCGCGGAUCUACGACGCGCUGCGCUCGAACGGCCGAUUCGUGUUCUCGGUCGAGCAUCCGAUCUGCACCGCGUACCCGCACGGCUGGGUGCGCGGCGACGACGGCCACAAGCAGCACUGGCCCGUCGACCGCUACCGGCAGGAGGGGCGGCGCGACACGCGCUGGUUCGUCGACGGCGUCGUCAAGUAUCACCGCACCGUCGAGACCUACGUGAACACGCUGCUGAAGGCGGGCUUCACGCUCACGCACCUCGGCGAGCCGGCACCGGUUCCCGACGCGCUCGCGGUGCGGCCGGACCUCGAAGCGGAAUGCCGGCGGCCGCCGGUGCUGUUUCUCGCGGCGGUGCGGGCGGGGAACUGACGGGCGCUCGAGCGCGGCGGCGG
Molecule: ribosomal RNA, 1456 nt
Filed under: Burkholderia mallei 2002721280
Lineage: Bacteria; Pseudomonadati; Pseudomonadota; Betaproteobacteria; Burkholderiales; Burkholderiaceae
Description: 16S ribosomal RNA
Source: RNAcentral